CCUACGAGAGGCAGCAGUGAGGAAUAUUGGUCAAUGGACGCAAGUCUGAACCAGCCAUGCCGCGUGCAGGAAGACGGCGCUAUGAGUUGUAAACUGCUUUUGUACGAGGGUAAACGCAGAUACGCGUAUCUGUCUGAAAGUAUCGUACGAAUAAGGAUCGGCUAACUCCGUGCCAGCAGCCGCGGUAAUACGGAGGAUUCAAGCGUUAUCCGGAUUUAUUGGGUUUAAAGGGUGCGUAGGCGGUCGGAUAAGUUAGAGGUGAAAUCCCGAGGCUCAACUUCGGAAUUGCCUCUGAUACUGUUCGGCUAGAGCGUAGUUGCGGUAGGCGGAAUGUAUGGUGUAGCGGUGAAAUGCUUAGAGAUCAUGCAGAACACCGAUUGCGAAGGCAGCUUACCAAGCUACUUCUGACGUUGAGGCACGAAAGCGUGGGGAGCAAACAGGAUUAGAUACCCUUGUAGUC
Molecule: ribosomal RNA, 460 nt
Filed under: uncultured bacterium
Lineage: Bacteria
Description: partial 16S ribosomal RNA
Rfam family: Bacterial small subunit ribosomal RNA
Source: RNAcentral